AUACGUAGGUGGCAAGCGUUGUCCGGAAUUAUUGGGCGUAAAGCGCGCGCAGGCGGUCUCUUAAGUCUGAUGUGAAAGCCCCCGGCUCAACCGGGGAGGGUCAUUGGAAACUGGGAGACUUGAGUGCAGAAGAGAAGAGCGGAAUUCCACGUGUAGCGGUGAAAUGUGUAGAGAUGUGGAGGAACACCAGUGGCGAAGGCGGCUCUUUGGUCUGUAACUGACGCUGAGGCGCGAAAGCGUGGAGAGC
This 247-nucleotide ribosomal RNA is filed under the name uncultured bacterium. Its description in RNAcentral is "partial 16S ribosomal RNA". It matches the Rfam family "Bacterial small subunit ribosomal RNA", at positions 523 to 769 of the family's 1533-position model. The record is from RNAcentral.